Molecule: long non-coding RNA, 569 nt
Organism: Elaeis guineensis (African oil palm)
Lineage: Eukaryota; Viridiplantae; Streptophyta; Magnoliopsida; Arecales; Arecaceae
Product: protein transport protein Sec61 subunit gamma
Source: RefSeq, a predicted model, not a curated record
UAUUUCUUCCGAGCUCCUUGCCACGCUGAGAUAUUCCCUUGUUCUCGUCGAUUUCGAGUCUAGGGUUUCGCCUUCCUCUCGUCUCUCUCCCUCCCCUCCUGUCUGAGUUGGAGAUGGACGCUUUGGAUUCGGCUGUCGAUCCCCUGCGGGACUUCGCCAAGGACAGCAUCCGCCUCGUCAAGAGGUGCCACAAGCCUGAUCGCAAGGAGUUCACAAAGGUGGCCUUUCGCACGGCGAUCGGAUUCGUGGUGAUGGGGUUCGUGGGAUUCUUCGUGAAGCUGAUCUUUAUCCCGAUCAACAACAUCAUCGUCGGAUCUGGCUAGGAACAAGAGAUUGUGGAGGGAGCAGUGCAAGAAAUUAUAUUUUUCAGUUUAUAUCUUAUGAAGACUUUUUUAAAAUUUGACACAUAGAAAUGCAUCUUUGAAAGAUGACAGGGUGUUCGUCGUUUUUGUUGUUUUCUUUUCCAUUGAUGGACAGUCUGUAUUUUAUCAUUAGCUUGUAGUGUAAUUCUCUGAAGUUAUCUAUAGGGAAGCAAAUGUUAAUGAUGGGUUUGUUGGGAAGGGGGUAAA